AUUGAACGCUGGCGGCAUGCCUAACACAUGCAAGUCGAACGGAGGUAGGGGCAACUCUACUUCAGUGGCGGACGGGUGAGGAAUGCGUCGGAAUCUACCCUAUGGUGGGGGAUAACACAGGGAAACUUGUGCUAAUACCGCAUAAUGUCGAGAGACCAAAGCAGGGGACCGCAAGGCCUUGCGCGAUAGGAUGAGCCGACGCCCGAUUAGCUAGUUGGUAGGGUAAAGGCCUACCAAGGCGACGAUCGGUAGCUGGUCUGAGAGGAUGAUCAGCCACACUGGGACUGAGACACGGCCCAGACUCCUACGGGAGGCAGCAGUGGGGAAUAUUGGACAAUGGGCGCAAGCCUGAUCCAGCAAUGCCGCGUGUGUGAAGAAGGCCUGCGGGUUGUAAAGCACUUUUGUUCGGGAAGAAAUCAUGCUGGUUAAUACCUGGUAUGGAUGACGGUACCGAAAGAAUAAGCACCGGCUAACUUCGUGCCAGCAGCCG
RNAcentral lists this ribosomal RNA (490 nucleotides) under uncultured bacterium. Its description in RNAcentral is "bacterial SSU rRNA". It matches the Rfam family "Bacterial small subunit ribosomal RNA", at positions 30 to 517 of the family's 1533-position model. The record is from RNAcentral.